Long non-coding RNA from Marmota monax (woodchuck), 1191 nucleotides. RefSeq lists it as uncharacterized. NCBI's taxonomy places the organism in Eukaryota, Metazoa, Chordata, Mammalia, Rodentia, Sciuridae. The transcript has 3 exons. The record is from RefSeq and is a predicted model, not a curated record.
GGCACAAGCGCCAAGAAUGGAAUCAGUUUUUCCAAGUCCUUCAUGAGGACAUUCUUUGCUUCCAAAGUCGAGGUGGCACCGGAAAGCCAGAUUACACAUCAAGAAUGCCAGGGCAGCCAGGGAAAUGCAGCGAAGAAAGGACAGUGAAUCCAGCAGCCAGGGCUCAUUAGUGGCCUGCAAGCAGCUGCUUCAGGGCCACAUAUUCAAAUCCAGCAUUUAAAGAGGUUUCCAUGAGCAAUUGGCUGAGAAAUGGAGGCUCCAAAGGUAACAGAUGCAUCCUGGUGACCCCAUGGGCUAUUGGAUGCUUGUGAUACUUCACUACACCAGAUAAAGAUUUGAAGUUCCAGGAAGUUAUUGGUCCAAAGUCACCUAGCAAGUUGUUAAUCGUCGCCAUCGUCAUCAGACUGGCUGCUAUUCACUGAGGACCUCCUCUGCACCAGAUUCCAAACUACGAGCUUUAUACCCACUUUGUGCUUGCUAAGGUGUCACCUCCCAGUGGCUCUCAGAGGCAGGGACAUUAUUAUCUCCCCUGUUUUGUAGAUGAGGACACUUAGAGAGAGGCAGAAUAACUCACCCAAGCCCACAUAGCUUGUAGGCAAUGGGAAAGGACUUCUAUCCAAGUGUGUUAAACUCUUCAAUUCCUGGUCUUCAACCCUAAGUCACAUUUCUCCACUGCUUAACAACUGAGCCUCAGAAGUCAGAUUUGAUGCCUUUCCUAUACAAAACAUUUAAGAUACAUCAAUUACAGAUGUUCACCUCAGUCUGUCUUAGCCUUUUCUCAACAUCAAGGUUUCUACAUCCUACAAGCAGAUCAUAUAAGGAGCUGUGUUGUGGUUUGGUUGUGAGGGGUCCCCCAAAAGCUCAUGUGUGAUACAAUGAAAUAAUUGGGUUGAAAGAAUCUUAACCCAAUCAGUGAUUUAAUCCCCUGAUAGGUAUUAACAGAGUGGUAACUGAAGUGGUAAGGUGCGGCUGGAGGAGAUGGGAAUUGCAGGGUGGCUUUGGGUAUAUAUUUGUAUCUGGCGAAUGGUGUCUUUCUCUGCUUCUUGAUCAUGAAGUGAGCUGUUUCCCUCUGCCACACACUCCACCAUGAUGUUCAACCUCAACUGGGGCCCCAAGGAAUGGCUCCUGCUGUCUAUGGAUGGAGACCUCUGAAACUGUGAGCCCUUAAAUAAACCUUUCCUCCUUACAGUA